This 253-nucleotide ribosomal RNA is filed under the name uncultured bacterium. Its description in RNAcentral is "partial 16S ribosomal RNA". It matches the Rfam family "Bacterial small subunit ribosomal RNA", at positions 524 to 776 of the family's 1533-position model. The record is from RNAcentral.
UACGUAGGGGGCGAGCGUUGUCCGGAGUUACUGGGCGUAAAGCGCACGCAGGCGGUCUGUUAAGUUUGGAGUGACAGUUGGUGGCUUAACUGCCAAAGUGCUUCGAAAACUGACAGACUUGAGGGCUUCAGAGGGACACGGAAUUCCGGGUGGAGUGGUGAAAUGCGUAGAGAUCCGGAGGAACACCAAAGGCGAAGGCAGUGUCCUGGGGAGUACAUGACGCUCAGGUGCGAAAGCCAGGGGAGCGAACGGG